AUGCAGAACCCGAGCGUAGACGAGCAGCCUCUGCUCGUGGCCGGAUCCGUGGAGCGGGACGAGAAUGUGGCCGCGUCGGAGGCGAAGCGACUGCUGCGGCUGGCGGGGCCGCUGGUUGCAAGUGGCCUCCUCCAGUGCGCGCUGCAGCUGGUGUCCGUGAUGUUCGUGGGGCACCUCGGCGAGCUUCACCUCGCCGGCGCGUCGCUCGCCACCUCCCUCGCCAACGUCACCGGCUUCAGCUUGUUGGCCGGCAUGGCGAGCGCGCUGGACACGCUGUGCGGGCAGGCGUUCGGCGCGCGGCAGUACCACCUCCUGGGCGUCUACAAGCAACGGGCGAUGCUGGUGCUCGCGCUGGCCUGCGUCCCCAUCGCCCUCGUCUGGACCAACACCACCCGGAUCCUCCUGUUCCUCGGCCAGGACCCGGCCAUCGCCGCCGAGGCCGGCGCCUACGCGCGGUGGCUCAUCCCGUCCCUCGUCCCGUACGUCCCUCUCACGUGCCACAUCCGGUUUCUGCAGACGCAGAGCAUCGUCGUGCCGGUCAUGGCCAGCUCCGCCGUCACGUCGCUGAGCCACGUCCUCGUGUGCUGGGCGCUGGUGCACAAGGCGGGCAUGGGGAGCAAAGGCGCGGCGCUGGCCAGGGCCGUCUCCUACUGCACAAAUCUGUCUAUACUGUCCAUGUACACGAGGCUGUCCGGCGCUUGUAAGAGGACAUGGAAAGGGUUCUCCAUGGAGGCCUUCAAGGAGCUGCGCCAGUUCGCGGAGCUCGCCUUCCCGUCGGCCAUGAUGGUUUGCUUGGAGUGGUGGUCGUUUGAAUUGCUUGUGCUGCUCUCUGGUCUGCUGCCUAAUCCUAAGCUCGAAACCUCAGUAUUGUCCAUAUGUUUCAAUACUGGCGCUCUCAUGUUCAUGGUGCCAUCCGGUCUCUGCACAGCCAUAAGUACACGCGUUUCCAAUGAGCUUGGUGCCGGUAGGCCUCAGGCAGCGAAGCUGGCGACCAGACUGGUCGUAUGCCUGGCCCUGCUGGAAGGCUCGGUGAUCUCUGUCACAAUGAUUCUGCUACGCAGAUUCUGGGGCUACGUGUACAGCAACGAGGAGGAAGUCGUGGCAUACAUCGCCAGGAUGAUACCUGUUCUCGCCAUGUCUUUCUUCAUGGACGGAAUCCAUACUUCUCUUGCAGGUGUGCUAACUGGAUGCGGUGAGCAGAAGAUCGGCGCGCGUGUCAAUCUUGUCGCCUUCUACUUGGCAGGCAUCCCCUUGGCCGUGCUACUUGCAUUUGCCCUGCAUUUCAACGGGAUGGGGCUUUGGCUCGGCAUCGUUUGCGGCAGCCUCACCAAGCUUCUGUUGCUCAUGUGGAUCGUACUUUCUAUAAACUGGGAGAAGGAGGCAAUCAAGGUAAAAGACAUGGUGUUAGGAUCUUCUCUUCCGGUUGCAUGA
RNAcentral lists this ribosomal RNA (1431 nucleotides) under Triticum aestivum (bread wheat). RNAcentral describes it as "partial small subunit ribosomal RNA". The record is from RNAcentral. Lineage: Eukaryota; Viridiplantae; Streptophyta; Magnoliopsida; Poales; Poaceae.